UACGAGGGGAGCUAGCGUUGUUCGGAAUCACUGGGCGUAAAGCGCACGUAGGCGGAUGUGUCAGUCAGGGGUGAAAUCCCGGAGCUCAACUUCGGAACUGCCUUUGAUACAGCACGUCUUGAGUCCGAUAGAGGUGGGUGGAAUUCCUAGUGUAGAGGUGAAAUUCGUAGAUAUUAGGAAGAACACCGGUGGCGAAGGCGGCCCACUGGAUCGGUACUGACGCUGAGGUGCGAAAGCGUGGGGAGCAAACAGG
Molecule: ribosomal RNA, 253 nt
Filed under: uncultured bacterium
Lineage: Bacteria
Description: partial 16S ribosomal RNA
Rfam family: Bacterial small subunit ribosomal RNA
Source: RNAcentral